Molecule: non-coding RNA, 31 nt
Filed under: Homo sapiens (human)
Lineage: Eukaryota; Metazoa; Chordata; Mammalia; Primates; Hominidae
Source: RNAcentral
UGGAGCACAAUGUCACCCACACCUACGCUGC